GUGACGCAAUAUCACUGGUUGUCACGUGGUAGCUACUAAACCAAUCAGCGAAUCCACGAAUUUCCUGAAUAACCAUGAGGUCAAAACUGUUCUGAUUUACUAACCGCGGAGACUAAAGAGCGUGCCGUCUUGACCCGAUAUAUCACUGCGUUACUGGUACGAAUCUGCUCGAUGCCUAGAUAUAUCUCUUUCCUUAGCCCAGCCUCUUGAGAUCGAAACCUGGAGAGACUGUAGCAGCCCCUCGCUAACCGUCAAGUGUUCCAUUGAAAACCGAACAAUGCCUGCUGGUAUGAUGACUACAU
Molecule: non-coding RNA, 302 nt
Organism: Zootermopsis nevadensis
Lineage: Eukaryota; Metazoa; Arthropoda; Insecta; Blattodea; Termopsidae
Source: RefSeq, a predicted model, not a curated record